GUUAUUCACCGUGUUUUGUGAAAUCGGUAAAUAGAUCGUUCAUCGUGAAAUGGCAAUUUUAUUUCGCGUUCUUCUGUAAAGAUACCCUCCUUUAUGCUCCUCUUUAAUUGGCUCAGCUUUAUCCACAUAUUCAACGAAAUUAUUUCCAUACAGUAAGGGAGCUUAGUAACCAUUUGAUUUUUAUGGGGGGGCUAGGAUGAAAUUUGAAAAAAAUAGGCAGGACAGGAGUUUUGAGUAAAAAAUAAAGGCAGGAUGAGACACUUGCAAAAAAAAAAAAGUCAGGACGACAAUUUAGGUAAAAAAAAGUCAGGAUAAACUAAAAAAAAAAAGGCAGGACCGAACAGAGUGAAAAAUAAAAAGGCAGGACAGAGAUUACAGCUAAAAAAAAAUACAGGACAAAAUUUUUCAUCCUAGCCCCCCCCCC
This 424-nucleotide long non-coding RNA is filed under the name Mytilus galloprovincialis (Mediterranean mussel). Lineage: Eukaryota; Metazoa; Mollusca; Bivalvia; Mytilida; Mytilidae. The record is from RNAcentral.